GAUGAACGCUGGCGGCGUGCCUAAUACAUGCAAGUCGAGCGAACGGACGAGAAGCUUGCUUCUCUGAUGUUAGCGGCGGACGGGUGAGUAACACGUGGAUAACCUACCUAUAAGACUGGGAUAACUUCGGGAAACCGGAGCUAAUACCGGAUGAUAUUUUGAACCGCAUGGUUCAAAAGUGAAAGACGGUCUUGCUGUCACUUAUAGAUGGAUCCGCGCUGCAUUAGCUAGUUGGUAAGGUAACGGCUUACCAAGGCAACGAUGCAUAGCCGACCUGAGAGGGUGAUCGGCCACACUGGAACUGAGACACGGUCCAGACUCCUACGGGAGGCAGCAGUAGGGAAUCUUCCGCAAUGGGCGAAAGCCUGACGGAGCAACGCCGCGUGAGUGAUGAAGGUCUUCGGAUCGUAAAACUCUGUUAUUAGGGAAGAACAUAUGUGUAAGUAACUGUGCACAACUUGACGGUACCUAAUCAGAAAGCCACGGCUAACUACGUG
Molecule: ribosomal RNA, 497 nt
Filed under: uncultured bacterium
Lineage: Bacteria
Description: partial 16S ribosomal RNA
Rfam family: Bacterial small subunit ribosomal RNA
Source: RNAcentral